GUGGCUCAGUGGUAGAGUGCUUGCCUUGCAUGCACGAGGCCCUGGGUUCGAUUCCUCAGC
RNAcentral lists this transfer RNA (60 nucleotides) under Dipodomys ordii (Ord's kangaroo rat). It matches the Rfam family "tRNA", at positions 7 to 64 of the family's 71-position model. Rfam says of the family: Transfer RNA (tRNA) molecules are approximately 80 nucleotides in length. Lineage: Eukaryota; Metazoa; Chordata; Mammalia; Rodentia; Heteromyidae. The record is from Rfam by way of RNAcentral.